This is a long non-coding RNA of Armigeres subalbatus, 871 nucleotides long. RefSeq lists it as uncharacterized. The record is from RefSeq and is a predicted model, not a curated record. Lineage: Eukaryota; Metazoa; Arthropoda; Insecta; Diptera; Culicidae. The transcript has 3 exons.
UUUACGGUUUCGUCAAAAGUAAACAUAACGUCGUAAGUCGCAAAAUUUGACGCAACUUGAUGAUUUUUUCUUAAGUCAAACUAACUGUAAAUCAGUAUAGUUAGAAAAAUGUUUAUUUUGGGCAGUUCACCGUUCAAGUAGUCAGGUGUACUAUAAACAACGGUCAAUCCCAGCUUCUAGCUACAUGGAAAAUCAAUUCGUAAAACAAGUAUCUGCAUCCGGAUCGUUUGCGAGCAAACAACAUUUCACCCAACCAACAUUUCACGCACUGUACAACGAUGCUUCCGGUUCGCACCAUCGAGCUUGAGCUGCACCUGCUACACCACAUCAUCUUAUCAUUGAGAAGAACUUUUAUCGAUUGCCCAUCGCAAUCUACGAACCGCUUUCUCUAUAUAUCCGCGAAUACAUUCGAGUAGCAUUCUUUUGCUAAAGGAAGCGGUUACAUAACUAGAUUCCUUUUACAUAAUGAACCAAAUGGGCUGCACGAUUCAUUUAUUAAUACAGUGCCUGAACCGCUUUGCCCAACGUAAUGAUGCAUCCAGUGAUCGCCAACAUUGGCCACUCAAAACUACUGUAACCGAGUCGACUAGGUUACAAUUUGGAGAAUCCGAAUUCAACUCGAACACCCAGCGCAAUCGCCGGAAAGCAAUUGAGGAACCUGGAUAGGGGAGGACAAGGCAAAAACGCCACCCGGGGCUAGAAGAGUACCCCUCAAUUUUAUUGCUAUUAUGCCUUUUUUCUCUCUAAAUAACCCCGCACACUAUUAAGCUAUAGUUCAAAGAAAGACUUGAAAUUGAAAAAAUAUUAUAAAAAUAAUGAAUCUGAAAUACAGAAGAAUUAGCAAAAGUUGGUGAAAACUUGGAUUUUCUUA